This 440-nucleotide ribosomal RNA is filed under the name uncultured bacterium. Its description in RNAcentral is "partial 16S ribosomal RNA". It matches the Rfam family "Bacterial small subunit ribosomal RNA", at positions 338 to 795 of the family's 1533-position model. The record is from RNAcentral.
CCUACGGGCGGCAGCAGUGGGGAAUAUUGCUCAAUGGGGGAAACCCUGAUGCAGCGACGCCGCGUGAGUGAUGAAGGUUUUCGUUUUGUAAACUCCUUUCAGUAGGGAAGAUAAUGACGGUAUCUGACUAAUAAGCCCCGGCUAACUCCGUGCCAGCAGCCGCGGUAAUACGUAGGGGGCAAGCGUUAUCCGGAUUUACUGGGUGUAAAGAGAGCGUAGGCGGCAGAGCAAGUCAGGAGUGAAAUCCGAUGGCUUAACCCUAGGACUGCAUUUGAAACUGUACUGCUAGAGUGUGGGAGAGGUAGGUGGAAUUCCUAGUGUAGGGGUAAAAUGCGUAGAGAUUAAGAAGAACACUAGUGGCGAAGGCGACUUGCUGGAAUAUAACUGACGUUGAGGCGCGAAAGCGUGGGGAGCAAACAGGAUUAGAUACCCCAGUAGUC